AUGAGUGAGAGAAGCCAUGGGGGUGUGACCAAUCCCUUACUUGGGUAUCUUGUGUCUGCAGAUGUCCAGUGUGAGAUGAAGCUAGUGGAGUCUGGGGGAGACCUGGUGAAGCCUGGAGGGUCCCUGAGACUCUCCUGUGCAGCCUCUGGAUUCACCUUCAGUAGCUAUGGCAUGACCUGGGUCUGCCAGGAUCCAGGGAAGGGGCCGCAGUGGGUCGCAGGUAUUUGGAUUGAUGGAAGUUUCACAAGCUAUGCAGACUCUGUGAAGGGCCGAUUCACCAUCUCCAGAGACAAUGGCAAGAACACGCUGUAUCUUCAGAUGAACAGCCUGAGAUCCAAGGACAUGGACGUGUAUUAUUGUGCGAGAGACACAGUGAGGGGACAUCAGUGUGAGCCCAGACAUAAACCUCAAACUACAAGAGUAUCAGACCAUCAGAGGGUACACAUUACUCACCAAUUAUGUCUUUAA
This is a non-coding RNA of Mustela lutreola (European mink), 468 nucleotides long. NCBI's taxonomy places the organism in Eukaryota, Metazoa, Chordata, Mammalia, Carnivora, Mustelidae. The record is from the annotation of a RefSeq genome assembly.